Molecule: long non-coding RNA, 1451 nt
Organism: Columba livia (rock pigeon)
Lineage: Eukaryota; Metazoa; Chordata; Aves; Columbiformes; Columbidae
Exons: 2
Source: RefSeq, a predicted model, not a curated record
AGACUGCCCACAGCCAGAUCUGACCAGACUAUAAAACGGGGAUCCCGCCAAGGCUGCUCUUUGUGUGGUCCUCUCGGAGAUGCGGGCCAAAUGCUGCCACCGAGAGCCCUCCUGGGACUGGGACACCGUCUAAGGUAACCUCCCAAAAAAUGGGACUGCCUCAUCUCUGCAUGUGGGACAAAAGGAAGAUGACGGGGUGGAAGACACUCCAGCUGAAAUCAGUGAUGGUUAAAAGUCAGUCCUUGGAAAUGAGAGUUACACCAGGGCGAUACCAACAGCCCAUUCAGGAGACAGUCCUGCAACUGGAAACACUAAUGAACUCUAUGCAUGAUAUCGCAUAAACUCCCUGAAACAGGAGGACUGUCCAAAGCCAGGCCAUAUUACAUUUGAUCCUAUUGGAGGAAAAGGGUGUAUACAGGUGUCAUUACAAGGACAAAUAACAGAGGACUCGGGCAAUUGUUGCUGUACUGGGGACUAACUGGUGAUGUAUUUGUUCUCCUUACCAGGAUGGCUAACCAGCCUCCUCCAAUAGUUGUUAAUAACUGUAAUCGUUGGAACUUGCAUUAUUCUAUUGUUCAUUGGUAGGUUGAUCUGUAUGGUGAUAAGAUGACACAUAAGGUAUGGUGAUCCACAGCAGACAUCAAAACUCACCAACAGAAAUGGCCCCUUUUGACUUUGGAGGCAAGAGGUGACUGCAUUACCACUCCAAAGUGUCUGUUAGAUCAUGACUGUGGUCACAGGGUGGAUAGUGUGGCAGUACACAUAGACCACACACACCCCCCCCCCCACUGAGAACUUAUGUGGCAGCUGCAUGUGUGCACAGCCCCCCCCUUCCUUCAAUGGGGCAGCUAAUGGCUCUUAUUGUGACACCCAGGCCAGAGUCGUUAGGAGAGAGGAGGGGGCGCACGUAGCCACAGUAGGGGGGUGCAGAGAAGCCGCGAAGCUUCUAGACUGCCCACAGCCAGAUCUGACCAGACUAUAAAACGGGGAUCCCGCCAAGGCUGCUCUUUGUGUGGUCCUCUCGGAGACGCGGGCCAAAUGCUGCCACCGAGAGCCCUCCUGGGACUGGGACACCGUCUAAGGUAACCUCCCAAAAAAUGGGACUGCCUCAUCUCUGCAUGUGGGUGAGUGAUAACUUAGUAUUUCCUCACCAGAUAAGUGAGCGUAUUAAAUAAUUCCUCGCCACUUGGGCGGGUGUUUUUCUCACUAGACAAGUGAGUGUAUUUUUCCUGGAGUCAGGGACGGCUCUGGUGUUGUUUAUUGUGAGUGCGUGUAUGCACACUGUGGAUCUCCAUUAUUCUUAUUUUACUGUACCCCAAAUAAUCUCCUCAAGUUGAUAUCCGAAUCUGUAUUUUAUGUUACCAGAGUGCUAACUAAUUGUAUGAACCCUGUUUCUGAUUGGUUGUUUUGCUGGACUUUCCCAGACGGAAUAAAAGUCUGUUUGGACCUUG